Molecule: long non-coding RNA, 2487 nt
Organism: Pan troglodytes (chimpanzee)
Lineage: Eukaryota; Metazoa; Chordata; Mammalia; Primates; Hominidae
Exons: 4
Source: RefSeq, a predicted model, not a curated record
UUUAUCCUAGGAGGAGCCAAUCACUACUAUACAACAUUAAUUUUAUUUUAAUAUGUAAAGUUAACUUUUUAAUGUGUGAUAACCUAUUGGUUAGCUCCUGGGCUACAAUGAGAAGAAACCAGUAAGCUAUACAGAAGGAGUUGGCCAAUGUGGAGCUUGACCACAGCCCAGGAGCUCCAACUUUGUCUUGGGACCUUAAGAGGAAAGGAUCACCCAACUCACAGAUACCUGAGGAUACAAACCCAUGGCUGGGCUCAGCUUUAAUAGGAUUUAUCUGAGGAAGAUCCGAGGAAGAUGAUAACAGAGGUUAAAAGGCAUGGCACAGUCAAUGAAAAAUCAUAUAUUUAGUACCUUCCUCUCAUCAGGACCCACCCCAAAACUGAAUCUCAGAUAAAAUCAGCCAGCUAAUUAUCUUUAAGGUCCAUGGAAGACAAGACGCUUUCACUAGGCUGGAGUGCAACGGCAUGAUCUCGGCUCACUGCAAUCUCUGCCUCCCAGGUUAAAGCGAUUCUCCUGCCUCAGCCUCCCAAGUAGCUGGGAUAACAAGCGCCUGCCACCAUGCCCGGUUAAUUUCUUGUAUUUUUAGUAGAGACGGGGUUUCACCAUGUUGGCCAGGAUGGUCUCGAUCUCUUGACCUCGAGAUCUGCCCGCCUCGGCCUCCUAAAGUGCUGGAUUACAGGUGUGAGCCAUCGCGCCCGGCCAAUCCUUAACAUUUUUAUUGUUUUCAAGUUGACACCUAUUUUCCUUAAGGUAAAGUAUAUGGGUAGAAAUCCUGUUAGAGGUGUUGAUGUUUUCCACUACCAUAAACUGUCUUCUUUUCUGUUUAAACACUUGAAUAGUUUUUCAAAAUCUGUAUUCUGGAAUGUCAAGGAAGCAAUAUCCUUGAGAUUGUCUUAGGAAUGAUGUAAGAUAAUAUUUAAAAUCGAAAAUUCAAUGGAUUAUCAACUUAUAAUUUUGAGAUGAAAAUAACAUUUAUUAUCUAUUGAUGGGUAAUAUGAAAAUAACUUAGCCCUAUCCUGAAAAGCUCACAGUGUUUAAACAGGACUUCUUGUUCCAGGGGAUAACUUAGUGAAAACUGUUCAAAAGUAAAUUAGAAUCUAAAUAUAUAGCUCAAACACAGAUUAUUUGUUAUUGUGAAAGUGAGCAUCAACUACUAUGCAAGGUAUACAUAGACCUCAUCUGCAGGCAAUGAUGUUUUACUGAAGUAAGGCACUUGCUCCCUUAGUUAUAAAAUAACAAAAAUAAAUUCUAACAGACAUUUCUAGGUUAGAAGUGGAUUAAAUCUGGGCUGGAUGUGAAUUAAAGAAACUGUUCAAAGACUCUUCAUCACUCCUCAAGGUUCUUAUGAUACCUAGCAAAAUGAAGCACAACUUCUACCCUUACAGGAAACGUCUUGGAAUUCUACCCAAUCAUUACUCUCCUUGCUUAAAGCUUUAUGGACUGUCCAACAGAGAUGCUGUGUUUCUUCUUCUUUUUCUUUUUUUUUUUUUUUUUGAGAUGGAGUCUCACUCUGUCGCCCAGGCUGGAGUGCAGUGGCGUGAUCUCAGCUCACUGCAAGCUCCUCCUCCCGGGUUCACGCCAUUCUCCUGCCUUAGCCUCCCAAGUAGCUGGGACUACAGGUGCCCGCCACCUUGCCUGGCUAAUUUUUUGUAUUUUUAGUAGAGAUGGGGUUUCACCAUGUUAGCCAGGAUGGUCUCGAUCUCCUGACCUCGUGAUCCGCCCAUAACGGCCUCCCAAAGUGCUGGGAUUACAGGCGUGAGCCACCGCGCCCAGCCGUUUCUUCUUUUUAUGCUGCUCUUUUCCACUUAAAUUUGUUAGCCUCUUCACUUAGUUUUCUUACAUUAUCAGGGAUACUUCGGGGGGAAGAGGGUAGAAAAAAAAACAUGUUGAUGAAAUUACUUUGUCAAGUUUAACAUGCUUUAUAAGGCAACAAUGUUAAUUCUUAGACAAGAAUCUUAAAAUGAGUACACAAAUAAGUCAAUACUUUAAAAUAAAUACCCAACAAUGUAACACCACAGACAUCAGUUAAAAUUUAUUAGAGCUUAAAGCUUUUACUUUCAACAAAUCAUAUGAUUUUUUUUUUUUUUUUUUUUGGAAAGCCUAUGUUAAAAGGUAUUCCCAUUGGGUUUCCUAGUGUCAUAUUGUGUAAUUUACAGCAGGUCUUCUUAAUCUCUCAUUUUUACGUAAGUAAAUGGAGAACCUUAUUUAAACAAAGAUGUACUAAUUAUUUGAUGCAAAAUGAUGUUUGUUGAAGUAAUGACUUGCUGAAAUAAAUACUUUAAUAGAUAUUUUAAAUGGAUUUCCAAAUAGUUGCAGAGAACACUAAAUCUAAAAGAGAAUUGUAGAAUGCUCAUAUUUUUAAAGUUAUUACUAUUUUUAAAACUGAAAUCCUGUAUGUUAUGCUAAAAGUCAACAGAGACAUAUCAUCUUGAAUAAAUCACAUUCUGCAAAUGGGUAGAAUUCAGCCUGACUUGUUAAACAAAGCUA